RNAcentral lists this ribosomal RNA (406 nucleotides) under uncultured bacterium. RNAcentral's name for it is "bacterial SSU rRNA". It matches the Rfam family "Bacterial small subunit ribosomal RNA", at positions 355 to 775 of the family's 1533-position model. The record is from RNAcentral.
CAAGGAAUUUCCCCCAAUGGGCGCAAGCCUGAGGGAGCAACGCCGCGUGCGGGAGGACGCCCUUCGGGGUGUAAACCGCUUUUCGAGGGGACGAAGACGAUGACGGUACCCUCGGAAUAAGGCCCGGCUAACUACGUGCCAGCAGCCGCGGUAAUACGUAGGGGCCGAGCGUUGUCCGGAGUUACUGGGCGUAAAGGGUGCGCAGGCGGCCACGCACAUCGGUGGUGAAAGCCCCGGGCUCAACCCGGGAGGGUCCAUCGAGAUGGCGUGGCUGGAGGCAGGGCGAGGCCGGUGGAAUUCCGGGUGUAGUGGUGAAAUGCGUAGAGAUCCGGAGGAACACCAGUGGCGCAGGCGGCCGGCUGGACCUGUCCUGACGCUGAGGCACGAAGGCGUGGGGAGCGAACGG